RNAcentral lists this ribosomal RNA (460 nucleotides) under uncultured bacterium. RNAcentral describes it as "partial 16S ribosomal RNA". It matches the Rfam family "Bacterial small subunit ribosomal RNA", at positions 338 to 795 of the family's 1533-position model. The record is from RNAcentral.
CCUACGGGAGGCAGCAGUGAGGAAUAUUGGUCAAUGGACGCAAGUCUGAACCAGCCAUGCCGCGUGCAGGAAGACGGCUCUAUGAGUUGUAAACUGCUUUUGUACGAGGGUAAACGCAGAUACGCGUAUCUGUCUGAAAGUAUCGUACGAAUAAGGAUCGGCUAACUCCGUGCCAGCAGCCGCGGGAAUACGGAGGAUUCAAGCGUUAUCCGGAUUUAUUGGGUUUAAAGGGUGCGUAGGCGGUCGGAGAAGUUAGAGGUGAAAUCCCGAGGCUCAACUUCGGAAUUGCCUCGGAUACUGUGCGGCUAGAGAGUAGAUGCGGUAGGCGGAAUGUAUGGUGUAGCGGUGAAAUGCUUAGAGAUCAGGCAGAACACCGAUGGCGAAGGCAGCUUACCAAGCUACUUCUGACGUUGAGGCACGAAAGCGUGGGGAGCAAACAGGAUUAGAUACCCUAGUAGUC